UUCUAGCGCUGGCCACCAUCCCUGUCUUCCUUCCGGUUCAGUCCUGAAUAAGGUCUCUCUGCUGUGCCGUCUUCCUGAAGCCAUCUGUGGAGUCAGGCAGUCAUGGCUCAGGAACACUCUGAAGUCGGUCCCAACACAUCUGCACCGACCAUUAAGAGGAAAGCGGACGAAUACUUAAAACCCAGCCUGGCCUCUAAAUCCGUGCUGAGCGUUUUACUCAGUAGACAGCUUGGGAAUCACAGAAAUGAUGCGGAUCUGACAGAGUGGCUGUGGACACUGACACAAGCCACACCAGGGAGGAGCUGGCCUUUGCCAACACACCCCACAACCAACCCACCUCUGCUCCCUGGGGAGGAUGGAAAAUCCAAGAAAACGGUGUGGAUCAAUAAAUCCUUUCCCUGAUGCAACCAUUA
This is a long non-coding RNA of Sapajus apella (tufted capuchin), 413 nucleotides long. RefSeq lists it as uncharacterized. The record is from RefSeq and is a predicted model, not a curated record. The transcript has 2 exons. Lineage: Eukaryota; Metazoa; Chordata; Mammalia; Primates; Cebidae.